Molecule: ribosomal RNA, 497 nt
Filed under: uncultured bacterium
Lineage: Bacteria
Description: partial 16S ribosomal RNA
Rfam family: Bacterial small subunit ribosomal RNA
Source: RNAcentral
GAUGAACGCUGGCGGCGUGCCUAAUACAUGCAAGUCGAGCGAACGGACGAGAAGCUUGCUUCUCUGAUGUUAGCGGCGGACGGGUGAGUAACACGUGGAUAACCUACCUAUAAGACUGGGAUAACUUCGGGAAACCGGAGCUAAUACCGGAUGAUAUUUUGAACCGCAUGGUUCAAAAGUGAAAGACGGUCUUGCUGUCACUUAUAGAUGGAUCCGCGCUGCAUUAGCUAGUUGGUAAGGUAACGGCUUACCAAGGCAACGAUGCAUAGCCGACCUGAGAGGAGGAUCGGCCACACUGGAACUGGGACACGGACCAGACUCCUACGAGAGGCAGCAGUAGGGAAUCUUCCGCAAUGGGCGAAAGCCUGACAGAGCAACGCCGCGUGAGUGAUGAAGGUCUUCGGAUCGUAAAACUCUGUUAUUAGGGAAGAACAUAUGUGUAAGUAACUGUGCACAUCUUGACGGUACCUAAUCAGAAAGCCACGGCUAACUACGUG